AUUGAACGCUGGCGGAAUGCUUUACACAUGCAAGUCGAACGGCAGCACGGGGGCAACCCCGGUGGCGAGUGGCGAACGGGUGAGUAAUACAUCGGAACGUGCCCGGUCGUGGGGGAUAACGUAGCGAAAGUUACGCUAAUACCGCAUACGAUCUGAGGAUGAAAGCGGGGGACCUUCGGGCCUCGCGCGAUCGGAGCGGCCGAUGUCAGAUUAGGUAGUUGGUGGGGUAAAGGCCUACCAAGCCGACGAUCUGUAGCUGGUCUGAGAGGACGACCAGCCACACUGGGACUGAGACACGGCCCAGACUCCUACGGGAGGCAGCAGUGGGGAAUUUUGGACAAUGGGCGCAAGCCUGAUCCAGCCAUUCCGCGUGCAGGACGAAGGCCUUCGGGUUGUAAACUGCUUUUGUAUGGAACGAAAAGGCUCUGGCUAAUACCUGGGGCUCAUGACGGUACCGUAAGAAUAAGCACCGGCUAACUACGUG
RNAcentral lists this ribosomal RNA (484 nucleotides) under uncultured bacterium. Its description in RNAcentral is "partial 16S ribosomal RNA". It matches the Rfam family "Bacterial small subunit ribosomal RNA", at positions 30 to 507 of the family's 1533-position model. The record is from RNAcentral.